Lutra lutra (Eurasian river otter) is the source of this 593-nucleotide long non-coding RNA. RefSeq lists it as uncharacterized. The record is from RefSeq and is a predicted model, not a curated record. The transcript is spliced from 3 exons. Lineage: Eukaryota; Metazoa; Chordata; Mammalia; Carnivora; Mustelidae.
AGCUAUGACACUAAUGGGGCACAACUGGAGAUCCUAGGGGGAACAGAAAUUCUUUACAGAUGGUUGGCUGAGAUCCAGUCCCACUCCCUGGGGAGUUAAUGCCAUCCUUGCCUUUAUAUGUGGACUGGGGCACUUUUUCCUAUUACUUUCCUAUUUGCAGCCUGAUGCGUCCUUACCACCAUGCAAGAAAUACAGGAAGAGCAGGAAGUACCAAGGGGAGCCACAGAGAAGGAGGAGCAAGAGAAGCUAGAAACACCAGACUCUGAAAGGUGAGCAUCUGCCACUCACCCCUGCGUGCCCCAGUUACACUGAACCCCCUGCUCUGAGGGCCCAGCCCCACUGUCUCCAGGACACCAGGACCUGAGCCCAUCCCUCAGGAAACAGAGCACUGGGUGGGAGGUGGGGGGGCUCCCAGGAGGAAGUGGGGAACCUGGAGGCUUCCCAGGUUCUGGGCCAGAACGAAGCCCUGAGGGGCUGGAAAUGGGUAUCACUCAGCAGGGCCCCAGGACCUGGACUGGGGGCGGGACUGCUUGAUCCCACUGUGGACAAGCUGUUCAACUCUGUUCAGAUUCCUCUUUGAGGCCACGCCAUCC